This 814-nucleotide ribosomal RNA is filed under the name uncultured bacterium. Its description in RNAcentral is "bacterial SSU rRNA". It matches the Rfam family "Bacterial small subunit ribosomal RNA", at positions 8 to 809 of the family's 1533-position model. The record is from RNAcentral.
AGAGUUUGAUCCUGGCUCAGGAUGAACGCUGGCGGCGUGCUUAACACAUGCAAGUCGAACGGAACUGUCAUUUUUGAAGCAAUUAGCUUGCUAAGGGUGGAAAUGUUGGCAGUUUAGUGGCGGACGGGUGAGUAACGCGUGGGUAACCUGCCUUACACAGGGGGAUAACACCUGGAAACAGGUGCUAAUACCGCAUAACAGGAAGAGGCGCAUGCCACUUUCUUGAAAACUCCGGUGGUGUAAGAUGGACCCGCGUCUGAUUAGCUGGUUGGCGGGGUAACGGCCCACCAAGGCGACGAUCAGUAGCCGGCCUGAGAGGGUGGACGGCCACAUUGGGACUGAGACACGGCCCAAACUCCUACGGGAGGCAGCAGUGGGGAAUAUUGGACAAUGGGGGGAACCCUGAUCCAGCGACGCCGCGUGAGUGAAGAAGUAUUUCGGUAUGUAAAGCUCUAUCAGCAGGGAAGAAAGAAAUGACGGUACCUGACUAAGAAGCCCCGGCUAACUACGUGCCAGCAGCCGCGGUAAUACGUAGGGGGCAAGCGUUAUCCGGAUUUACUGGGUGUAAAGGGAGCGUAGACGGUGAUGCAAGUCUGGAGUGAAAGGCGGGGGCUCAACCCCCGGACUGCUUUGGAAACUGUAUGACUGGAGUGCAGGAGAGGUAAGUGGAAUUCCUAGUGUAGCGGUGAAAUGCGUAGAUAUUAGGAGGAACACCAGUGGCGAAGGCGGCUUACUGGACUGUAACUGACGUUGAGGCUCGAAAGCGUGGGGAGCAAACAGGAUUAGAUACCCUGGUAGUCCACGCCGUAAACGA